GUUUUAAACUUGAUAGUGCCGGUAAUACUUUGCCCUAAUGAGUGUCGCGUCUCGAACUCUCGGCACACGCUCGUCGGCAGAGCAUAGAUAAACCAUGAAACGCUUGAACAUCGACGUAGGAUCAGAGAGUCUACUCUCAAAAACGAAAUCCGUUGUUUCGGAUGACGGAUCGUACAUUUUCUUACUACGAAGUGUUACGGAUCCGAUGACGGAUUCGACGACGGAUCCGUAAUCGGAUUUUGACACUUAUGACAUUUUUACUUUCGUCGACCGCACUAUGAAAACACAUUUGACAUAAAAUACUUCGUUUCUGCGUUCGGAUCUUAGCGUCAAUUUUACGAAAGCUCUAAUCCUUUCGUUUGAUUUUCGUUUGGUACUUCAGAGGUUUUAAAAUUGCUCAAUAACUCCUGUGUGAAGAAUUGUUGCGAUAGGAAAGUGCUGGGCGAAGUUGAAAGCGUCUCUAACUGCGUAAAACCUUCGUAACAUGGAAUUUGUAAGAACUUAUAGGACUUUGCCACCCCUUUUUGAAACCAUCUGCGAGGAUAUAGUUCCACUAAUUCCUCCAAAGCACAUAUACGGGGAAUUGAUACUACCACUAAGGAGAUGUUAGGGAGCUGUGGAACUAAGUAUAGAUGGGUCCAUGGGCCAGCAAACAGUCUCUGAGUGCCUCAGGCAAGUGUCUGAGUCAGCCUCAUAUAUUGACUAAAUUUAUAAAAUUUCCACAAAACCGACAAGAAAGGACUCUUAUUAAAGAAUAGUGAGUUAAUAGAUAUUAAUCAUCAAUUCUUAGAAAGUACCUAAGUGUCAUCCACAUAACAUUAGCCUUUAAUUUAAAAUAAAUUUAAACACUCUAUUUACUUAGGUUAAACAAGCCAUUCAUAAUUUCUCAUUUUUUCAUAAAUAUGUAAUUCCAGGCAUAUGUGGGUGCAUUGACUGCACUCAUAUAACCCUUAGAAAACUUAUGAAUUUUAUGCCAUCCUUUGUAGAAAGUGCCUAUGACUUUGAAUUUAUUAGACUUUAAACAUAAUAUGUUUUCUUGUUUCAGAAUCAAAUAAUUAAACAACUACUAACUCGCUAGAGCUGCCAUAACCAACACUGCAUCACGCAUGGAAGAUUAACUACCAAAUAUAUGUUAUCGGAAAAUAAAACAUUAUUACAAUCAUUUU
This is a long non-coding RNA of Manduca sexta (tobacco hornworm), 1166 nucleotides long. RefSeq lists it as uncharacterized. The transcript is spliced from 2 exons. The record is from RefSeq and is a predicted model, not a curated record. Lineage: Eukaryota; Metazoa; Arthropoda; Insecta; Lepidoptera; Sphingidae.